AUUGAACGCUGGCGGCAGGCCUAACACAUGCAAGUCGAGCGGGGUUUUCGGACCUAGCGGCGGACGGGUGAGUAAUGCGUAGGAAGCUGCCCGAUAGAGGGGGAUACCAGUUGGAAACGACUGUUAAUACCGCAUAAUGUCUACGGACCAAAGUGUGGGACCUUCGGGCCACAUGCUAUCGGAUGCGCCUACGUGGGAUUAGCUAGUUGGUGAGGUAAUGGCUCACCAAGGCGACGAUCUCUAGCUGGUUUGAGAGGAUGAUCAGCCACACUGGAACUGAGACACGGUUCAGACUCCUACGGGAGGCAGCAGUGGGGAAUAUUGGACAAUGGGCGAAAGCCUGAUCCAGCCAUGCCGCGUGUGUGAAGAAGGUCUUCGGAUUGUAAAGCACUUUAAGUUGGGAGGAAGGGUAGUAACCUAAUACGUUGCUACUUUGACGUUACCGACAGAAUAAGNACCGGCUAACUUCGUGCCAGCAGCCGCGGUAAAGUAGACGUCUC
This 500-nucleotide ribosomal RNA is filed under the name uncultured bacterium. RNAcentral describes it as "bacterial SSU rRNA". It matches the Rfam family "Bacterial small subunit ribosomal RNA", at positions 30 to 535 of the family's 1533-position model. The record is from RNAcentral.